GAUGAACGCUGGCGGCGUGCCUAAUACAUGCAAGUCGAGCGAACGGACGAGAAGCUUGCUUUUCUGAUGUUAGCGGCGGACGGGUGAGUAACACGUGGAUAACCUACCUAUAAGACUGGGAUAACUUCGGGAAACCGGAGCUAAUACCGGAUAAUAUUUUGAACCGCAUGGUUCAAAAGUGAAAGACGGUCUUGCUGUCACUUAUAGAUGGAUCCGCGCUGCAUUAGCUAGUUGGUAAGGUAACGGCUUACCAAGGCAACGAUGCAUAGCCGACCUGAGAGGGUGAUCGGCCACACUGGAACUGAGACACGGUCCAGACUCCUACGGGAGGCAGCAGUAGGGAAUCUUCCGCAAUGGGCGAAAGCCUGACGGAGCAACGCCGCGUGAGUGAUGAAGGUCUUCGGAUCGUAAAACUCUGUUAUUAGGGAAGAACAUAUGUGUAAGUAACUGUGCACAUCUUGACAGUACCUAAUCAGAAAGCCACGGCUAACUACGUG
RNAcentral lists this ribosomal RNA (497 nucleotides) under uncultured bacterium. RNAcentral describes it as "partial 16S ribosomal RNA". It matches the Rfam family "Bacterial small subunit ribosomal RNA", at positions 28 to 507 of the family's 1533-position model. The record is from RNAcentral.